CAGGCCUUCCUAAUCCUCAUUUGUGGGUGGCAGUGGGCAUGGUGAAUCCUGAAGAUGCUAAUGUAGGCCUUUGUCUCUGUUGCUUUUAUGUAACUGAACCUCAGAAGGUCCUUGGAGACAGACUAGAAUUUGGGAACAGUUUCUGAAUUGUUCUUGGAACUCUUCUCUUGCUAUUUCUUUUACACACAGCAGUGAGGUUCUUUCUCGUGAGAUAGAAGACACCAGAUAGAUCUUCUUUAUUGCUACUGUACGAUGAUGAAUGUGUUUUUAAUUCUGUGGGCACUACACUCCAUGUAUCCAAGGAAUGAGUGUGUGUUGGGCCUGUUUGAGGAGCCAAGUACUGACUAAGUCCUUGGAUCAGAAAAUAAACAGUCUGGCUUCUGCUUGCUUGAGCUUAACAUUUGUGUUGGGGU
Molecule: long non-coding RNA, 413 nt
Organism: Ochotona curzoniae (black-lipped pika)
Lineage: Eukaryota; Metazoa; Chordata; Mammalia; Lagomorpha; Ochotonidae
Exons: 2
Source: RefSeq, a predicted model, not a curated record